Molecule: non-coding RNA, 223 nt
Organism: Pelobates cultripes (western spadefoot toad)
Lineage: Eukaryota; Metazoa; Chordata; Amphibia; Anura; Pelobatidae
Source: the annotation of a GenBank genome assembly
GUGAGGUUAAGAUAUUGAAACGUGUUUUUUAUGAAUGUUGGGAAGAUGCAGUUCCCAUCCUCCAGGACUGAGGUCGACACAAGUCGGUUUGCGUAGUCCCUGGUCAUGAAGGGGUUAAAGCAGACAUGGUAUUGUGUGGGGGUUUUCGAUCCAUGGAAAGCUGACAUUUUGACACAGAAUAUCAGACCUUAUAUUUAAAUCUAUGAAGAUGUGACAAUUACAG